CCUACGGGAGGCUGCAGUGGGGAAUAUUGGACAAUGGGGGGAACCCUGAUCCAGCGACGCCGCGUGAGUGAAGAAGUAUUUCGGUAUGUAAAGCUCUAUCAGCAGGGAAGAAAAUGACGGUACCUGACUAAGAAGCCCCGGCUAACUACGUGCCAGCAGCCGCGGUAAUACGUAGGGGGCAAGCGUUAUCCGGAUUUACUGGGUGUAAAGGGAGCGUAGACGGUUAUGUAAGUCUGGAGUGAAAGCCCGGGGCCCAACCCCGGGACUGCUUUGGAAACUGUGUAACUGGAGUACAGGAGGGGCAGGCGGAAUUCCUGGUGUAGCGGUGAAAUGCGUAGAUAUCAGGAGGAACACCGGCGGCGAAGGCGGCCUGCUGGACUGAAACUGACGUUGAGGCUCGAAAGCGUGGGUAGCAAACAGGAUUAGAUACCCCAGUAGUC
RNAcentral lists this ribosomal RNA (440 nucleotides) under uncultured bacterium. RNAcentral's name for it is "partial 16S ribosomal RNA". It matches the Rfam family "Bacterial small subunit ribosomal RNA", at positions 338 to 795 of the family's 1533-position model. The record is from RNAcentral.